AUUGAACGCUGGCGGCAGGCCUAACACAUGCCAGUCGAACGGUAACAGGAAGAAGCUUGCUUCUUUGCUGACGAGUGGCGGACGGGUGAGUAAUGUCUGGGAAACUGCCUGAUGGAGGGGGAUAACUACUGGAAACGGUAGCUAAUACCGCAUAACGUCGCAAGACCAAAGAGGGGGACCUUCGGGCCUCUUGCCAUCGGAUGUGCCCAGAUGGGAUUAGCUAGUAGGUGGGGUAACGGCUCACCUAGGCGACGAUCCCUAGCUGGUCUGAGAGGAUGACCAGCCACACUGGAACUGAGACACGGUCCAGACUCCUACGGGAGGCAGCAGUGGGGAAUAUUGCACAAUGGGCGCAAGCCUGAUGCAGCCAUGCCGCGUGUAUGAAGAAGGCCCUCGGGUUGUAAAGUACUUUCAGCGGGGAGGAAGGGAGUAAAGUUAAUACCUUUGCUCAUUGACGUUACCCGCAGAAGAAGCACCGGCUAACUCCGUG
RNAcentral lists this ribosomal RNA (490 nucleotides) under uncultured bacterium. RNAcentral describes it as "partial 16S ribosomal RNA". It matches the Rfam family "Bacterial small subunit ribosomal RNA", at positions 30 to 507 of the family's 1533-position model. The record is from RNAcentral.